UACGUAGGCAGCGAGCGUUGCUCGGAGUUACUGGGCGUAAAGGGUGCGUAGGCGGUUUGUCGCGUCUGCCGUGAAAGUCCGGGGCUCAACUCCGGAUCUGCGGUGGGUACGGGCAGACUAGAGUGAUGUAGGGGAGACUGGAAUUCCUGGUGUAGCGGUGAAAUGCGCAGAUAUCAGGAGGAACACCGAUGGCGAAGGCAGGUCUCUGGGCAUUAACUGACGCUGAGGAGCGAAAGCUGGGGAGCGAACAGG
This 252-nucleotide ribosomal RNA is filed under the name uncultured bacterium. Its description in RNAcentral is "partial 16S ribosomal RNA". It matches the Rfam family "Bacterial small subunit ribosomal RNA", at positions 524 to 776 of the family's 1533-position model. The record is from RNAcentral.